CUCACAUCCACACAGAUGUGAAUGUGAAGAUCCCAUUGAAAAGUCAAGAUGGUUGUGUGGAUAAGACACAUUCAGAUACCUGCAUUCUGCCCUCUUAGGAUAUACACAGCAGAGAGUCCCCAAACAGUGGCUUUAAUUUCUCAACAUGAAGCCAUCAUGUGUAGCAUGGAAAUCAUAAUACACCCCUGACUCACAGGGGUUCAGUAGUGAUUGGUCAUGGACUGAGAUUAGUCAUGUAAACAAUAGAAGUCAUCUAAAAACAAACAAGAUAGCAUUGUUAAGAGGGAGCAAGGAGAAAAGAGUUUGGUGCAAUGUCUAUGCAGCAGGUAUAAUGAAUACAGCUGUUUUUAUUCUUAACUAUGCCUUUAAAAAAAAAAAAAAA
Molecule: non-coding RNA, 382 nt
Organism: Pelodiscus sinensis (Chinese soft-shelled turtle)
Lineage: Eukaryota; Metazoa; Chordata; Testudines; Trionychidae
Source: RefSeq, a predicted model, not a curated record